This 72-nucleotide transfer RNA is filed under the name Solobacterium moorei F0204. It matches the Rfam family "tRNA". From Rfam's summary of the family: Transfer RNA (tRNA) molecules are approximately 80 nucleotides in length. Lineage: Bacteria; Bacillati; Bacillota; Erysipelotrichia; Erysipelotrichales; Erysipelotrichaceae. RNAcentral also lists the same sequence under 1 other name. The record is from Rfam by way of RNAcentral.
UGGGGUAUAGCCAAGCGGUAAGGCAAGGGACUUUGACUCCCUCAUUCGUAAGUUCGAAUCUUACUACCCCAG